UGCCAGGCUGGGUGUGCUCUGCUUCAUUUGCAUGAGAAUAGAGAGACUUUCCCGUGCCCUCCCUUAAGGAUGGACAGGAAAGAAGAGGCCAGGCUGCAGCUCUGUCCUUCUCCCUCUGGGAUUCUGGGGCUGGGAAAAUGACCACUGUCACAUUCCUCCAAUCCUCUGAAAAUCCUAGGACCCGCGGUAUUGAGCAAAGCUUUGAAGGAGCCGGCUGGUGGAUUUCCACUCCAGAUUUUCCAGCUGUCCCUGUCCCCCCACCGUUCAGAGAGCAGGAUGCUGAGAUGGUUCCGUGAUGCAGAAGGUGUCAUUGCACAUUUUUCUGAACACUAAGGCAGUUGGCAAAAGAAGGCUCAAAGGGCUUGGUUCAGAAGAAUUGAAUUUAGGCUUUCUUUACUGCUUUUACCAGCUGUGUGCCUCAGGCUGAUCCCAAAGCUGUAAGAUGGAGAAUGAAUAUAAGAAAAUUCUGCUAGGAGAGGCCCCAGAAAACAUCACUGAUGAAGAACUGAAGUUCAAGUUCUGUGUUCCAGAAAAGUACAAGAUUUCCAAAGGACAACUAGAGGCUGCAGACAGGACAGAGGUAUCUCAGCUGAUGAUUGUCAAUGCUGCUGUGACACCUGUGGUGAGGGAGACCAUUACAAUUCUCAAAAAGAUGAACUGUAAUUCCCUAGUAAAAUGUCUUGACGACGAGAAAAAGAAAGAAAAUAAAAUGAAAGAGUCCUGUAUUACCUGGCCCAAAUGGCAAAGUAUAGAUGCCUGUAAAACAGAAGACAAAAAAAUGUGAAGAAAGGAGUAAGAAUGGAGGUGCAUUCUCCCACGUGCCAAAAAUGAGCAAAAAUCUAUAGCUGAAAUCUGGAAAUCAUAGAGGCAUUAAGGUUACUAAAGCCAAAAAAGGUGAACCAAAAACCACCAAAUGAAGUCAGCUCAUCUGAGCAACUCUUAACGGACGAAUCCCUGAUAUCACCUCUUCAACCAGAUUCUUUGUUGCAUGAUAGUAACAGUUCACAGACUUCUCUCCCCACUCACCACCAGCAAAUUAGUCAGGAUUGGAUAACUGAUGGAGAAAUAACUCCAAAACAUCAACCUGUCACCACAAUACAAGUAAAUUUCUCAUUUAUUAAACUCCUGGUUUGGUUUUGGAUACAUGUGGAAUUCUUUUCUACAUAGAUAUCGGGGGAUGUUGCAGUUGUUUGGCAAAUGCCUGUUGAAUGAAUAAAAUUAUUAAUGGGAAAUUUUCACUAUAUGUAGUUGUAUAAGUCAAUAUGAACUCAGUGUGUAAAUAACCAAAUUUUCAGGAGGACAAAUGUGAGAAGCUUGUAAACAUGAAAACAUUUUCAAUUUCAAUAACUUGAGAAAUACAAUUAAACAAUUAAUAUAUUAAACUCUGCUUAGGGUGUAGAAAGUCAGAUAAUCUGCAAAACUCACAGCUUUUUCUGAGCCCAUCAGACAGCUGAGGCUGUGGUACAAGCAUCUAGGGUAAUCAAAUGUCUAGGGGAAAAUAUAUCCAAGGAAAGAGCAGAUGGGAGCAUUUUCUGACCUGGGGUAGAUAGUUGACAUUAUAUAUUCCACAAAAUUGAAGAAUUUAGCUAAAAAUUUUAAUUUGCCUAAGGUUGAGCUGGGACUAGCAUGAGAAUGUAGAAUUACUGGGAACCUCAGUGACAUGGAGAACUUAUACCCACCCACUUGUAGGCACUUCCUU
Heterocephalus glaber (naked mole-rat) is the source of this 1699-nucleotide non-coding RNA. Lineage: Eukaryota; Metazoa; Chordata; Mammalia; Rodentia; Bathyergidae. The record is from RefSeq and is a predicted model, not a curated record.